RNAcentral lists this transfer RNA (76 nucleotides) under Gemmobacter sp. RNAcentral's name for it is "tRNA-Ala". It matches the Rfam family "tRNA". From Rfam's summary of the family: Transfer RNA (tRNA) molecules are approximately 80 nucleotides in length. Their secondary structure includes four short double-helical elements and three loops (D, anti-codon, and T loops). The record is from RNAcentral. Lineage: Bacteria; Pseudomonadati; Pseudomonadota; Alphaproteobacteria; Rhodobacterales; Paracoccaceae.
GGGGCCUUAGCUCAGCUGGGAGAGCGCGUCGUUCGCAAUGACGAGGUCAGGGGUUCGAUCCCCCUCUGCUCCACCA